CUCCGUUACUUACAAUGAGUCUGGACUGAGAACAAGACGAAAGAUGAGGAAGCUGAGGCCUGGUGCUCCUAAAGGGCUUGGUCAAGAGGCGGAGGUGGAGGUGGUGGAAGGCUGUUCCCCUGCGGAAGCCCUUUGGUGGCACGCGAGACCUGGCUCCGUGGCCACUGGACAGAUCUCCU
This 179-nucleotide long non-coding RNA is filed under the name Piliocolobus tephrosceles (Ugandan red Colobus). RNAcentral describes it as "lncRNA (ENSPTEG00000029352.1)". The record is from RNAcentral. Lineage: Eukaryota; Metazoa; Chordata; Mammalia; Primates; Cercopithecidae.